GAGAGAAAUAUAGAGUAAACGCGGAGUUGAGUGCCGGAUAGCGGCGGACGGGUGAGUWWCGCGUGGACAAUCUACCCUGUAGACUGGGAUAACACCUCGAAAGGGGUGCUAGAUACCGGAUAAUGUCAAGGGAUGGSAUCAUUUCUUGAAGAUAGGAGAARUCCGCUAUAGGAUGAGUUCGCGUCCCAUUAGCUAGGUUGGCGGGGUAAAAGCCCACCAAGGCGACGAUGGGUAGCCGGCCUGAGAGGGUGAACGGCCACACUGGAACUGAGACACGGUCCAGACUCCUACGGGAGGCAGCAGUGGGGAAUAUUGUGCAAUGGGGGAAACCCUGACACAGCGACGGCCGCGUGAGCGAAGAAGGCCUUCGGGUCGUAAAGCUCAAUAGUAUGGGAAGAUAAUGACGGUACCAUACGAAGAGCCCCGGCUAACUACGUGCCAGCAGCCGCGGUAAUACGUAKGGGGCGAGCGUUGUCCGGAAUUACUGGGCGUAAAGAGCACGUA
This 504-nucleotide ribosomal RNA is filed under the name uncultured bacterium. RNAcentral's name for it is "bacterial SSU rRNA". It matches the Rfam family "Bacterial small subunit ribosomal RNA", at positions 75 to 573 of the family's 1533-position model. The record is from RNAcentral.